UCAUAUAGGUCCUACCCAAGGACUACCCCUCACAAAGGACAAGGCCCUAGUCAGUCCCGACUGAAUUAAGAGGCCCCCAUCAUCCAGUCGGUAACAGGUCCUCAACCAUCCAGUCGGAGACUAGCAUUCGGAGGAUACCAAGCUAACCGACUGGCUACACUCGGUACAUCGUAACCUCUCUGGAGGGAAACUGCCGUACGUUUCCGGGUGCAUUUAUUAGCAUUUAGAGCAUACGUUACCUGUAACGUACGCAUUCAAUCCCC
Molecule: long non-coding RNA, 263 nt
Filed under: Hordeum vulgare
Lineage: Eukaryota; Viridiplantae; Streptophyta; Magnoliopsida; Poales; Poaceae
Description: long non-coding RNA (HVUL_LNC004842)
Source: RNAcentral